Non-coding RNA from Mycena epipterygia, 84 nucleotides. The record is from the annotation of a GenBank genome assembly. Lineage: Eukaryota; Fungi; Basidiomycota; Agaricomycetes; Agaricales; Mycenaceae.
UCCACUUAGUUCAGUGGUUUAGAGCUGCCCGAAGCACGGUUUGACCACCGCGGGAGACCCUGGGUUCGAUUCCCGGGAGUGGCA